RNAcentral lists this ribosomal RNA (434 nucleotides) under uncultured bacterium. RNAcentral's name for it is "partial 16S ribosomal RNA". It matches the Rfam family "Bacterial small subunit ribosomal RNA", at positions 29 to 507 of the family's 1533-position model. The record is from RNAcentral.
AGCGAACGCUGGCGGCAGGCCUAACACAUGCAAGUCGAACGAACCUUUCGGGGUUAGUGGCGGACGGGUGAGUAACACGUGGGAACGUGCCUUUAGGUUCGGAAUAACUCAGGGAAACUUGUGCUAAUACCGAAUGUGCCCUUCGGGGGAAAGAUUUAUCGCCUUUAGAGCGGCCCGCGUCUGAUUAGCUAGUUGGUUGAGGUAAUGGCUCACCAAGGCGACGAUCAGUAGCUGGUCUGAGAGGAUGAUCAGCCACAUUGGGACUGAGACACGGCCCAAACUCCUACGGGAGGCAGCAGUGGGGAAUUUUGCGCAAUGGGCGAAAGCCUGACGCAGCCAUGCCGCGUGAAUGAUGAAGGUCUUAGGAUUGUAAAAUUCUUUCACCGGGGACGAUAAUGACGGUACCCGGAGAAGAAGCCCCGGCUAACUUCGUG